UUUUAUUUCAGAUAUAAAGAGACACAUGUAACACUGUCUCCUACAAACAUUAUGAAGAUAAUGUCUGUUUUUGUUUUCACUGCAGCUGCAUGAACACAACUCGCCUGUAUGCAGCAUGUCUGCUUCACAAACAAUAACCAGAGUGUGACGUGUAGUCUGAUGUUGUGCAGCCACUCGUGUUAUUUACUCGUGCUGACAGAGAAGCACAAAAGCAAUUAAAGCUUUCUACAUUAAUGUUAAUUUGCAGACAGUUACAGGAAGACACAGUUUGUUUGCCUCAAGCUGUGAUUUUAUUAAUUUAAUCAGUAAUCAUAUUAACAUAGUCAAUAGAUUUAUAUAAGAUUUUGUUGUGAAGAAAGAGCUCUUUCCCUCCAAGGAGGUCGGAGAGUCAGUGAAGGCAUCAUGCAGGUUUUUAUAACCACAAGUCUGAAACCCAGACACAGAAAAAAGGGAAGAACAGAAAGAAGAAGAGGAGGGUUUUACUUGGCGUGAACUGAUGUCAGUGUUGGUCUGAUAUCAUUGAGCAGUAGGAUGGAGGAAACGUCUCUGCUGUGUCUGCUCUUUCUGAUCUCACUGCUGAGCUGCAUCACAAACCAAGCUCGUCUGACUGUGAGUCCCAGCAGCUCUCAGUUUUUUAAAUAUGACUUUGUGUCUCUGAGCUGUGAGGAGGACGACAGCUCUGCUGGAUGGACUCUGUGGAGAAACCCAAAGACACAACAGAGGACUCAGUGUGGAGAUGGGUGGGGAAGAUCAGCUGGUUCUUCCUGUAACAUCAGCUACAUCGACCCACUGGACAGUGGGGUUUACUGGUGUGAGUCCAGAGAGGGUCCCAUCAGUAACAUGGUUAACCUGACAGUCACUGGUGGAUCAGUGAUCCUGCAGAGUCCUGUCCUCCCUGUGAUGGAGGGAGAUGACGUCACUCUGCUCUGUAAAACAAAGACCACUCCCUCCAACCUCCCAGCUGCUUUCUAUAAAGAUGGCUCCCUCAUCAGGAAGCAGCCUACAGGUCACAUGACCCUCCAGCAUGUUUCCAGGUCUGAUGAAGGCCUCUACAAGUGUGACAUCAGCGGUCAUGGAGAGUCUCCAUCCAGCUGGAUCACUGUCACAGAAAAACCUACAACCACACCACCACCCACUCCAUCAACUCCACGUCCUGACUUGUUAUCACUCAGGCUUGUAUUUAUCCACCUGGUGAUGUUCUGUCCAUACUUUAUCUCCACUCUCCUCGUGGUGUCUUUAUGUCGACAGAGAACCAAAGGAAAAAACAUUUGUGUGUCAAUCCAGCCCACUCAUCCUGAUCAGGGACUGGAUGAGCAUUAUGAUGUAAUCACUGAUGUCACCACAGAGUAUCACUUCUGAAUCAGAGCUCUGUUGUGUCUCUGUGAGUCUCACCAUCUUUUUCCUCUCCAUCUCUGAUGUGGAGAUUAUUUGAAUAAAUGGACUCUGAUGAUCAUCUCUCAACAAUUUUUCUGUAAAUAACCAGCAAAUAUUCCUGCUCAGAGUAGAAGAUCCAUCAUGUACUGUAUGUGCACCACUGCAGCUCUGUCACUAAGUAUUGUACAAACCAUUAAAUGUAUUUAUUUUUCUGACCUGUCUUCCCAGUGUGAUGUUUGUGCAAUGUAUGUAUGGUUGGAUGGGGGUCAAAUUUUCACUGCAGGUAACAUGCAUGUGUAACAUUGCACGUCACAUACUCCUCAGGAGGUUGUCCAGGCUAUAAAAUUGUUCCCUAAUGGCAAAACAGCGGGACUGUUUCAUUUCUAUAAAACAUUUUGCGACAUUCUUGCACCAUUUGUGCUCAGGAUGCUGGGCAACUCAAAAAAUGAAGGAAAAUUGCCUAAAACUUCGCGCGAAACCAAUAUUGCUCUCAUUUUGAAAAAAGGGAAGAGUUGGGACUGACCCUGCUAAUCAUAGGCCAAUAGCACUUCAAAAUUUUGAUCGUAAGAUAAUUACAAAAAUCCUAACUACUAGAUUAAAUAAACAUUUAGUAUCUAUUAUUCAUCCUGACUAGACGGAGUUCAUCCCUGGCUGACUUUCCUUUUUCAACGUUAGGAGAUUACUCAGUAUAAUCUGUUCUGACUAUAAAAAUUGUAAGGGAGCCUCAAGUGACCCUACAGUGGCUUGCAAAAGUAUUCGGCCCCCUUGAAC
Molecule: long non-coding RNA, 2145 nt
Organism: Oreochromis niloticus (Nile tilapia)
Lineage: Eukaryota; Metazoa; Chordata; Actinopteri; Cichliformes; Cichlidae
Product: low affinity immunoglobulin gamma Fc region receptor II
Exons: 7
Source: RefSeq, a predicted model, not a curated record